Molecule: RNA transcript, 1555 nt
Organism: Panicum hallii
Lineage: Eukaryota; Viridiplantae; Streptophyta; Magnoliopsida; Poales; Poaceae
Gene name: histone deacetylase 2-like
Exons: 13
Source: RefSeq, a predicted model, not a curated record
AUUGAGAGGGCGUGGAUGCAAAAUACUUGCACAAGAAAUCAGGGAUGGACCGGACCGCCGCGCAAAUGGUGCAGCACGUCAGCACCGAAUCCUCCAGGCACCGCCACCGCUGUUCCGCUCUUCCUCUUCCGCGUCACGCGCGCGCCAGAGCUGCGGCAGGAUUCCCCGGCGGGAGGCGCAGGCCGCACGCCGCGACCAUUCGGCUCCUCGUCCACCCCACACCUGGCCACACGGGCCCUCUCCUACUCCGCCUCCCCCUCCUGCUGGCGGCGGAUGGCCUCCUCCUCCUCCUCGCCGGCCCCGGCCCCGGCCGGGGAAUCCCUGCGCCAGAAACGCAUCCUCUCCAGCAAGCUCUACCUCGACGUGCCCUCCUCCAAGGCGCCAGUGGUCUACUCGCCGGCCUACGACAUCUCCUUCCUGGGGUUCGAGAAGCUGCACCCGUUUGAGUCCGCCAAAUGGGGCCGCAUCUGCAGGUACCUCACCAGAGAAGGGCACCUGGAGAAGAAAAAGCUCGUGGAGCCAUUGGAAGCCUGCAAGGAGGAUUUGCUAGUGGUGCACACGGAGAAGUAUCUGAACAGCCUCAAAAGCAGCUACAGAGUUGCCUCCAUUGUAGAGGUCCCUCCUGUGUCGCUUGUCCCUAACUGGAUCGUGCAUAAAAAGCUACUAUACCCGUUCCGGAAGCAGGUGGGUGGGUCAAUUUUGUCAGCCAAACUUGCACUCGAGAGAGGAUGGUCCAUUAAUGUUGGUGGAGGAUUUCACCAUUGUUCGGCAGAGGAAGGGGGUGGAUUUUGUGCGUACGCUGACAUCUCUCUCUGCAUCCAGUUUGCUUUUGUCCGUCUAAACAUUUCAAGUGUAUUGAUCAUAGACCUGGAUGCUCACCAAGGAAAUGGGCAUGAAAAAGAUUUUGCUAAUGAUGGAAGAGUUUACAUUUUGGACAUGUACAAUGCUGGAAUUUAUCCCUUUGAUUUCACUGCUAAGCAAUACAUCGAUCAAAAAGUUGAAUUAGUUAGUGGUACAAAAACAGAUGAAUACUUGGAGCAACUUGACAACGCCCUUGAGUUCCUCUUGGAACAUAUUGUUUGCAGGUAUGCAAAAGUAGAUUUCAGCCCCAGUUGAUUGUUUACAAUGCUGGAACAGACAUCCUAGAUGGUGAUCCAUUGGGCAAAUUGGAGAUAAGUCCUGAGGGCGUGGUUACCAGAGAUGAGAAGGUGUUUAGAUUCGCGAAAGAUCAAAACAUUCCAGUCCUCAUGCUGACAUCAGGAGGCUACAUGAAGUCAAGCGCUCGAGUAAUCGCUGACUCGAUCAUCAAUCUCUCGAAUAAAAACUUGAUAGAACUAGGCAACCAGCUGGGUUGAGCAAGAACUUGUGAUGAGAGUGUUUAUCGUAAAGCACACAUCUCCCGGAUGUAUAUGUCAUUGUGAAUAAAAGUGUAUAGUACUUUUAUUGUGAUGGAUGACAUAUAUGCCAUAGAAAAGGUUUGUACAUAACACGGGGCCUUCUUAAAUCUUGACUAUGUGAAGUCAAGUAAUCAAUGCGUAUAAAGCAUUUCAGAAAA